CAAGCUACGCUGGUGAUCCAAAGCUGUCCCCAACCCUGCUCUGCCUACUCGGGCCCUCAGAGAAGCCUUGCUCCCCUCUCUCAGACUCUCCCCAGCUUUAAGUGCGAAAGCCCCAGGCCCGAACUCACAGCUGCCCUCGGAAGGCAGUGGGGGCGGAACCAGGCUGCGGCCCCCACUUCCCUUCGAGACUCAGCAUGUACAAACUCAGAUCCCUCCACGUUUCUCGCCUCCCUCCCGGCUUGCCUGACCCGGCGGCGUCCACCUCAGAAGCCGGCGCUCCUCACCCACCAGAGCCUACAUCUGACCCCAUCAGCUUCCAAAUGGACAAGAAGUUUCCUGAAGGGUCACUUGGCCUCAUUUAAGUCCAUCUUUCAGCCACCAGUACCAUUCACCUGAAAUGAAAGUCUGACACAUUCAAGCCAAGCUGUUGCCUCUGUUCUUUGGGCAUGUUGUUCACUCACCUAGAAGGCUCUCACCUCACUGCUUCACUUGGAUAUAAUCCCUAAUUAACCUUCAAGUCUCUGCCCAGGCAUAAUCUCUUGAAGGAGACUCUUCCCUGAGGCUGGCACCAGGCUGUGUUCAGACUCCAACUCUGUCGCUCUCUGUAUGACCUUGGAUUAGUUUCUUAACAUCCCUGUGCUGCAGUUUCCCCAUCUGCAACAAAAAGAUGAUAGUAGCACACAUGUCAUGGGUUGUUGUGAAGUUGGAUUAAUUGUAAAAUGGUUUGAACAGUG
Long non-coding RNA from Physeter macrocephalus (sperm whale), 734 nucleotides. RefSeq lists it as uncharacterized. Lineage: Eukaryota; Metazoa; Chordata; Mammalia; Artiodactyla; Physeteridae. The transcript is spliced from 2 exons. The record is from RefSeq and is a predicted model, not a curated record.